UGAAAGUAUGUGAUUAUUGAGGACAUGCUGAGCAUGUCAAAUGAAUGUGAAAAAUAUUGAGAUAUGAAUAUGUAUGUGAUUGUGUGACAUAUUGCAUAUGCAUUGGGUUGAGAUUUUGUGGUUGACGGAGGAGUUUCGUGGAGUACCGGCGGAAUAUUAAGUCCGCAAUAUUCGUAGUCAAUGCACUGCACCUGGAGCACCGAGGGG
RNAcentral lists this long non-coding RNA (207 nucleotides) under Gossypium barbadense (sea-island cotton). RNAcentral's name for it is "long non-coding RNA (GBAR_LNC021594)". Lineage: Eukaryota; Viridiplantae; Streptophyta; Magnoliopsida; Malvales; Malvaceae. The record is from RNAcentral.